RNAcentral lists this ribosomal RNA (406 nucleotides) under uncultured bacterium. Its description in RNAcentral is "partial 16S ribosomal RNA". It matches the Rfam family "Bacterial small subunit ribosomal RNA", at positions 29 to 526 of the family's 1533-position model. The record is from RNAcentral.
AUUGAACGCUGGCGGCAGGCCUAACACAUGCAAGUCGAACGAGUGGCGGACGGGUGAGUAAUGUCUGGGAAACUGCCUGAUGGAGGGGGAUAACUACUGGAAACGGUAGCUAAUACCGCAUACCAUCAGAUGUGCCCAGAUGGGAUUAGCUUGUUGGUGGGGUAACGGCUCACCAAGGCGACGAUCCCUAGCUGGUCUGAGAGGAUGACCAGCAACGUAGGGACUGAGAUACGGCCCAGGGUCCUACGGGGGGGGGAAGUGGGGGAUAUGGGAGAAUGGGCGAAAGCCUGAUGCAGCGACGCGGCGUGGGGGAUGAGGGCUUUCGGGUUGUAAACGUGUUUCGGUAGCGAACGGGUAGGUGGAGAAGAAGCGCCGGCUAACUACGUGCCAGCCGCCGCGGUAAUUC